This 45-nucleotide non-coding RNA is filed under the name Pelobates cultripes (western spadefoot toad). The record is from RNAcentral. Lineage: Eukaryota; Metazoa; Chordata; Amphibia; Anura; Pelobatidae.
CUCUUGCUGAAGAGUUGCAUUAACAACGAAACAGCUGUCCAUGAG